AUUGUAGCUUGCUACAGAUGACGACCGGCGCACGGGUGCGUAACGCGUAUAGAACCUACCUUUUACAUAGGGAUAGCCUUUAGAAAUGAAGAUUAAUACCUUAUAGUAUUGAGACUUGGCAUCAAGUUUUAAUUAAAGAUUUAUCGGUAAAAGAUGGCUAUGCGUCCUAUUAGUUAGUUGGUAAGGUAACGGCUUACCAAGACAUCGAUAGGUAGGGGUCCUGAGAGGGAGAUCCCCCACACUGGUACUGAGACACGGACCAGACUCCUACGGGAGGCAGCAGUGAGGAAUAUUGGACAAUGGAGGCAACUCUGAUCCAGCCAUGCCGCGUGUAGGAAGAAUGCCCUAUGGGUUGUAAACUACUUUUAUACAGGAAGAAACACUGGUAUGUAUACCAGCUUGACGGUACUGUAAGAAUAAGGACCGGCUAACUCCGUGCCAGCAGCCGCGGUAAUACGGAGGGUCCGAGCGUUAUCCGGAAUCAUUGGGUUUAAAGGGUCCGCAGGCGGUCGAUUAAGUCAGAGGUGAAAUCCCAUAGCUCAACUAUGGAACUGCCUUUGAUACUGGUUGACUUG
This 575-nucleotide ribosomal RNA is filed under the name uncultured Polaribacter sp. Its description in RNAcentral is "bacterial SSU rRNA". It matches the Rfam family "Bacterial small subunit ribosomal RNA", at positions 72 to 644 of the family's 1533-position model. The record is from RNAcentral. Lineage: Bacteria; Pseudomonadati; Bacteroidota; Flavobacteriia; Flavobacteriales; Flavobacteriaceae.